AAUUGUUCUAGCACCCCUGGAAGCUUGGGUCCUUUCAGGGAGAAGGUGGUGAGACCAACAGGAUUUUAAUACUAAUGUCAUGUGUUUCAGAGCUUCCUAUAGUUCAGAGAGAAAUACUUCCAUUCCCUCUUGGUCUUCUCACAGCAGCUUCGAAAGUGAACUUGCUUGUGCGGGGCUUCCCUUCCCUGCUACAUUGGAACCACGACUCUUUACCUGAUGACAGCAGCUGUAUCUUCCCAUUCUAUCCCCUCCCCGCUUGAGUCACCUGCACAGUAGAGCUAUAGGUGAUGCCAUGUUUGUAGACCCUUGUGCCCACCAUCAAGGUCCCAAGGCUCCAAGGAAACUCCUCAAGUUUUCAAAAUCUAUAUCAAGCCCUAUAAACUGACAACCAAACUUGUGGACAAAUUUAACAAGUCACAAGGUUUACAUUUGCCAAAGCAGUAGGUGUAUAAUGCCACCUUGUCCAUAACAGGGGACUAGUGGUGAGCUGGAUGUAAAAAAUAAACUUUGCCCACAUUGGUUCUGCAUGGGAGACACUUUUAUUACAUGGCACACUGGUAAAGACACAACCACAAAGGAGAGAUCAUCUGAUGGAAAGAAGUGAAGAGACACAAGAGGAGAGAACCUGGAGCCAUGAGUAUAGGCAGCAGACAUCACGCACAAUUUAAAUUUCUUUGAGGACACAUUUUUCAUAUUGUGCUGGCAUAUCUUUUUAUUUUUGAUCUUCAUUAUGCCUUUUAGCCAGUCACAGCUCUCUAAAUACACCUAUUGUGUUAGUGGCCACGUUGUACCUGCCUACACUGGAAAAUCAGGGAGAUUCUGCCAGCAGUGAGGCAACAGAGAAGAUUGUGUGUGUAUAAAUUUCAGAUCACUAGCAUCACCCGGGCCUUGAAAUGCCUGUUAUCAAAACCAUGGUGGAAAUAAGUAUGAGACUUGUAUUUUCCACUCAGAAAUUAUUCGGCUCAAGUGUUGUGUCACCCAGCCUUGGAGAGAGCACAUGCCAUACCCGCCUAACCUGAGGCAUUUGGUCCAAGAUUCUAGUUUUUGGAGGUCACUCACCAGCCUCCAGAAUCUCAGGACUUUCAGUGCUGCAGCUGUGAAAGUGACAUUGAGCAACGUACAGGAGGAAUAGAGAUGGAUUCUGUCCAGAUCAGCUGCAGUGAAGACAGUUCUUGAGACCCACUGUUGUGCAGUAACUUAAA
Long non-coding RNA from Mauremys reevesii (Reeves's turtle), 1202 nucleotides. RefSeq lists it as uncharacterized. The transcript has 3 exons. Lineage: Eukaryota; Metazoa; Chordata; Testudines; Geoemydidae. The record is from RefSeq and is a predicted model, not a curated record.